Schistosoma mattheei is the source of this 46-nucleotide non-coding RNA. Lineage: Eukaryota; Metazoa; Platyhelminthes; Trematoda; Strigeidida; Schistosomatidae. The record is from Rfam.
GCACUGCUGAGGAAUCCCAAAAUAGGACGAAACGGUCGUCCAGUGC